AUUGUCAAGGGGGUAUGUCUGGAGUCCUGAUGACAGUUGCAGGGUAGAAACUAUGCUUCUGCUUAAAGCAAAUAUUUUAGGAAUGUCCUUCUCUGUUUUCCUGUCUUCCUCCCCCCGCCCCAGUGUCUGCUGAGAACUUGAAGAAAAGCUUAAAUGUGACAAAAGAACAGAUUUUUUGAAUGUGCAAUGUAAUAUUCUGAACUUCCCAGCUGAUACAGAUGAGAAUGACAAAACUGGGGGAAAAAAUUAUAAUAUCCUUUUGCUCUUAGGAAGAAAAAUGUUUCAGAGUGGAUGUGAGCUAUGGCAGAAGGGACUCGUGGUCAGCAAAGUCUGCAGAGAGAGAGAGGGAGAGAGUAGAAGGGUCUGUUAUGUGGGAAAAGGCCUUUCUGUUGUGGUGCAGACCACAGAGUGUUCCUCUGCAGCUGUGGGGGGUUCUUGCAGUGCUGCAGGGAUGCUGUUUGUCGUCAGCAGGGGAUCCCUGUCAUUCUGAGCCUCCUUGACAACUUUGGCCAAAGGGAUUGCUGCUCUGUUCAGUUGUCUAAAAGUGAGUUACCUGACUGUAUUGCUGAGGUUUCUGGACUGAUUCAAGGUUCGUGGUUUGCUGGGAGUUCUGUGUGCCUGCCAAGGGCACUCUGAGGUGCUGGGUGUUACAGUGUUGUGAUGGGCUUUGAGCAGCUGGGGCUAUACCAUGAAAUUGCUUUUGCAGGAGGUGCUUACAGAUGUGUGCCAUGAGGCUGCCAUCUUGCCUGUGAGGUGGAGCAUAAGCAAGAUGAUGCUUCUUUGCCAGCUGCAUAUUCCUUCAUUUUGCCUUUGGCGUAGAAGGUGUAAGUGUCACCCAAAUGCUGAGCAGAUUAGGCUGGGUUCAUGUCAGCAUCAUGGUCUGGUGACAGUGGCAUCUGUGCUACUGCUGAAACCUUUGAGUAGAGAGGAAGUACAGAUGAGGCUGAAUGUUGCGUACUCUGGUUUGUUGCUUAUUCUGAUGUUUUCUGCCUGAUGUUUGGUUUAUGGUCCUUGACUUCGGGGUUUCACAGCUUUGUUAAGGAUGCCAAGACACAAUAUGAGAAGUUGCAAAUGAUGUACUCAGACACAGAGGACCUCUAUACUGUACUGGGCCAGUACUUUCUGUUUGACCCCCAGAAACUGGCUGUUGAUAGCAUCUUCAUAGAACUGAGUAACUUUAGAAACAGGUUUCUGGUGAGCAAGAUGUCCUUUUCUCCUCUUAAUUCUGAGGUGUUCCCUUCAUUGCCCAGAUGUGCCAUUUUCUUACUCCUCUUCCAAAGAGGGUUGUUAACUGCUUUUGUGUGGUUUUUUUUCCCCUACCCAACCAUACUGCAGCCCCUAAGCAGCUGUUCCUCCUGUUCUGCAGUGAGCUGUCACAGAGAAUCAGAAGCAGCAUGAUACAGAUGAUAUGCCAUGCAAAGCUCAUGAAAGAGGAGGCAGAGAAGAAGCAGCAGGAGUGACAGCAGCGGGAAGAACUGGUAGACAUGAAUGCAGGCCUGAGAUACAAUUGGGUGUUUGGGACAGCAGACGGUUUGGACUAGAUGCAAAGCUCUACUAAUAAUGUGUGUGGAGAGCUACAGGUGAAGAAAGAAAUGCUCUGCAGCUGAAUUCCCAGGGGUGGAGGCUUGGGACAACAUGAGUGGGACAGGUAGACAGGGACAGGGGCAACAUGAAUGGGACAGGGGUUGGAGGCUUAGGACAACGGGAGUGCAAAUUACUCUCUUCUUUACUGAGGGGGUAAGUCCUGAGAGCAGCAAUUAGCAGGUUUGCCUACAGAGCUUUAAACUUAGGUGUUGGACAAGUCAUAUCUUCAGUGAUAGGCAAAGCCUACUAAGGUACAGAGAACAUUGCCAAACCUAAGGGCCUUCUUAAGAGGCUUUUUGCCUAUAUAAAAUGCAGCAAAUUGCACAACACAGCAAAACCCUGUAUGGCCAUUCAGUGCUGUAGUCCUGCAUUCUGUCUCCUCCCUUGUUUUCUUGGGAUGCCUUGUUUUCGGUGUAGUGUCAGAGCUCUACUCCCCCUUCCCAAAUGCAGGCGUCUGGUGUUAGGCUCCUCUAUUGCAACCACAUACAUUUCAGAUUUCUUUACAAAUGUGUUUUCAAAGGGGGGAGGAGGAGAGGCCAUAAACAGUCUUAUGAGCUUUCCCAGUGCUGUAGCUGGAACCUGGGCGUCCCUAAAGCAGUGGGACAGCCUCUGUGGGCUAGCCUAGCGAUGACUGUGCGGACUCAGGUUGCUCAUUCAUCACCCCAUCUGUACCCUUACCUCAAAGUGAGUGAAUCCUACAAUAGCAGGUACUCCUGCACCAAAGCUGUCCAGCUUUCUGGGAGAAGAGCGGACCUGGCAUCCCUCCUGACGCUGCCCAAUGAAUGGCAAAACCAUGUUCUGAUGUUACUGUUGUCCACUUUCCUUUCUAGCUCCGUGCACGCUCAGGGACAUGGAUGUAGAUCUAACCCUGUCACUUUGUAAUAAAACAGCUAUUUCCUUCACCUUUUUGCAAUGUUACCUGUUACAUUAAGAUGUUAAUGAGUUUAAGGUUGGAAGCUUCCUGAACCUGUAGCUGCUGUAGACACAGACCUGAAAGCUUACAGAAGUGACAAGUGACCUGUCUCAGCAUUUGUGAUUAGUCUGAAUUCAGCCUUCUGUGUGGUCCAGGAGGUUAAUGUGACUCUGCGAGUGCCCUGUACCGUCCCCACUGCAUGGACUUUUUUCUCCCUUAGCCUGCUCCCCGCUACCAGAUGCAUUCUUCCCUUCCAACAUACGGACUCAAUUACUGUCCCUCUCUCUUGAUUUCCUGCCUCUCUGGGUUUCCUGAAACACUCCCCCUCCUCCUGGCAGCUUGAACUCCCGCAGUGAGAUGCUUUGCAAGCUCUCCUAUUCCUCCCUCCCACUGCUUUGCUGCCUCUGACAAGGUGGUCCUGAUCCAGAGCACACACAGAUAAGGCUGCAGACCCACACUGUUGCUAUAGCUGAGUCCCAGAACCCCAAGGGCUUGGCUUGCCACAGCAAAACUAGCCAGCCCGCUAAAUGCAUGCUCAGUGUCUAGUAGGGUUGUGUCCCAGCUCCUCCUGACAGAGGUCCCCACCCUGCUUCAUCAUCGUUCCUAGACUAUCCUGUAGUUUUCAGCCAACUGCUUUAUUUGCAAGACUUGGGGUUUUUUUUCCCGUUCCGUUCUGAGGCCAUGGCUUCCUGAGCCUCUGCGCUUUGAAAGGAGCAUCAAACUGCUCUGGGUUUCUCUUGGGUGCUGUUUGGCUUCCUUCCCGGAGAUGUACUCCUGCAGAAAAUGUAUAUGUUAUGGCUUCUGCCUUUAAAAGCAUGUGAAGAGAGGAGAUGGAGCCCUGUCUUCUGUUAGUGGUUCUCUCAACCCCUGCCUGCUGCUCUGGGGGAGCCUCAGGCACUGCAGCAUUGGGGUGCUGGAAAUCUUAAGAAAUCUGAGCUUGUUCAAGGGGCAGGGGGAGGUGGAAACAGUUAAAUCGUGGAAAUGGUUAAAUCACACAAAUUAACAAGUUAAUGAUUUCCAUCCCCUUGCUGGCAUGUUUCAGUUUUCAGAAGGGGGUCUGGCCAGCAGCUGUGCCAGCAAUUGUAGCUCAAAAAGAGUAUUUUCUUUCUGUGUCAGCUUUCAUCCACAGCCCCUUUGGGUUCCCCUGGCUCCUGCAGAUGCCAGGGUUUCCAGGGCUCCUGCUGCUGAGUCACUGUGUCUGUUUUCCCUCCUGUACCUGGUGAUGGAGUUAGACGAUGAGGCAGGAUGAAAGUGGCACUGUUUGCCCCCUGCUUGCUUCCGGCCCCACCCUUCCCCCAGCAGAGGAGAGAUGCUUUCCCAGGAUACAAGUGACUCAGCAGCACUUGCAAAUGGAAGGAAAGGCUGCACCUCUGAACCCAGGAGUGCAGGGGAGCAACUUAAGGUACAGCUUGGGGGAAGACCCAACAAAUAAAUACCUGUGGCUGUGCAGUCCUGUAAUCAGCUUCAGAUGUAGGAGCCUUAUUGCAUAAUAAGGUUUAUGUAUUGUGAGAGAGAGAUAUUAUAUAUUGUAUAAUAAGCUUUAUUAUAGCAAGCCUGGACACUGUGUUCCCUCAUCUAAGGUCACUGAGCCCCAGCAACAGGCACGUGGGAAUGGGUUGUUUCUGUGCUGUUGUGUGAGCUUCCCCUCAAGGCAUAGUGUCUGUUCUCUCCUGGACCACUUCCCACGCGAGGAGCAGUAACUGCUUAGGGUCUCCGGAGUCUGAGAGCCCUGUUUGCCCAGCACCCACAGAGCCUUUUGUGUGAGACCUGACUAAACCCAGUACUGCUUUGCUUACCCACAGCAGGAAUGCAUUUGUUGAGCUCUGACACCAGGAGCAUCACCUUAAAUGUGUAACACCUCCCUAACUUCCUACUUACCUUCUCCAAAUGCCCUUUCCUAUUGCAAGCAGCAGUGGAAGCAUGGAAAGGGAAAAGCCCAAACUUCUCAAAUCAGGUAAAGUACCAAGGGUUUUUAGAAAUCCUUGAGUAUGCUAAAGCUGGAGGGGCAGUAACUGAAGCACAGAGGUGAGGCAGGGACCCUAACCAUCAGUGUCACAGCACCCUUCCUCAGCCUUCCUGUCCCUUUGUCUGGCUUGGGCUGAGUUCAGUCUGAUGUUCCCAUUGGGCCACCACCCUGUCUCAUCCUCAGAGACCCUUUGGAGCAGUGCAGACCCUCCACUUGGGCUUGGCACAAGUGGAUGGGUAAGGGUAAGAAACUAGAAAGCCCUAAGAGAUGCCAGCGGCUUACUGCUGUCACUCAAACCUGCUCUGGAAACUGAGAGCCCCCACAGGUGAAUUUGGACUGGUUUGCUCCGAGGAGCAUCUCUGCCAGCCAAAGUCCCAGUGCUGUGGCCCUCCUAGGAGCUCCCCAAGGCUCUGGUGACUUGUGGGGUGUAUACCUGCACCCUCCGUCCUUACAGCCCCCUUCACUAGCCCCAAGCCCGGGCCUGGUAGCCAAGUUUCACGGCCCAGCUCCCCCCCGCUCGCCGGGCUGGGGCGCUGGUGUUGCCGGCAGGUGGCAGCCUGUGCGGGCGGCACGCGCAGCCUGUCGCAGAGGUUUAACGGGAUUGCGCAGCUCCGGGUUUCUCCGGGAGCCGUUGUCACGGGAACGGCGACCUGCGGCGAGCCCGAGCGCCCGGCGUUAACCCCCUCGGUGCCGCGCCGCUGGGAGGCUGCGGUGGCUAGUGGGGCUGGAGCGAUGGAUGUUUUACAGGAAGCUUUGCAGUCCAGCAGCCUGUCCCACUGGAGCUGGGGAGUGUGGCAGGAACCAAGCAAAACCAGCAAAGCCUGCGAAAUGACAAGAGUUGGAGGCAUCAUUGAGGAGACGGUGGUGAUCAUCAGCUGCUCGAGCUAGACAUUGCCCCUGGAUAAAGACAGAGCACUGCUGGACCUGCGAGAGCUUUCAGUAAGUAAAGUUUCAUUCUGGGAUCUGUGCAUGGCUAUGAAGGAUAAUUUAUUUUCCUUCUUGCUCUUGGGGCUGUUUGUGCCAUUUUGUGUUGUUUUAGCUGUCCUGUCUGAUCUUUAGUCUGUCCCUGGAGACAACUGAAGGGUCAAAGGCUUCAAUCAAAGGGAACAACAUCAUCUGCAGUUCUCGUGCUGGAGCAGACUGGGCAGAAAGGCAGGGACAGAGUAAAACCACAGCCCUCCCUGCACGUGGAUCAGUGCUGGGGUACCAAAGCAGGGACCCAGGGUCUUGUCUUGCAGGGUGCUGGCUCUUGGUGCAAUAGUUUACAGUGGGGAUGGUUCUGCCCCAGCUCAUGCAUUCUAGGCAUUGAGUUGUUUUCUUGUUCUAAUUUAAAAUCUUUGUAAUGUUGAAGUCAUGGAGUGAUCCAUAACAGCCCAGCAUCAUCUGGGACCAGCAUGCAGCUUGGCUGCUGUCACUUCCCUGCAGGAGGAGGAGGCCAACUGAUCCCAGCCCAGGUACGAGCUGGGGUACCAGGAGUGUAGAGAAAGAAACAGAGUGGCUGGGAAUGCUCUUGGAGAGAAGGCAGGUUGGCACUCUCUGGUCUGUGAGAGCCACCCAGGGAGGGGCGAGCCAGCACUGGCAGUGCAGCAGGGUCUGGGGACCUUUCAGUAUGGCUGGGGUGACCCAGCACAGGGCUUCCUGUGAGAGCUUGUGCCUGCCUGAGCACUACUGGGAGCACUGUCCCUCCUGGGGUCACACCAAGGCUUUGCAGCUUUUAGUUUUAGUGCACUUUUAUGUUCAAUAAUAAUACAAUUCUACUUUUUGUAGCACUUCAGGAGUUCCUGGGGCCUGUUAUCACAUCACAGGUUGGAAGCACUAAUACAAAGCUGGGCUUGCUUAAGAGAGUGUGUUCUCCUGUGCCAGGUCAGCCCGGCAGCCCUGUGUGGCACGUGGCACGGCCACCAGUCCCAUCAUGGCAGCAGCUGCGCACGGCAGAGCUCUUUGUGCAGGGCACAAUGCCUGCUCACUGCUUCAGAUGCACUUCGUGUCUAUUAUCUCGCUGCUAUCCCAGGUGCUCGGCUCCAGCAUGCAAACUCGGUGGUGCAUGAAUCGGAGAGAAUAACAGCGAGCAAGCAGCUGCAGAUGGGCCCUGGGGAAGAGGUAGGUGCAUGCCUGCAUACAUGAGGUUUGUGCCUGAAAGAGAAAAACACUGAUUGUAGAGGGGAGAAGAGUUGCCCCAGUUCAGCAUUGAGCAGCUGGUUGGGCAGUAUGGUGCUGGUUGUGGUCCAGGGACUCCCCACACUCAAACCUGGCUAACCAGGAGCCCAUUAGAACCAGGAAGGGAUGAGGAAGUAAAAAAGGGCAGGUAGGAUAAUUAAGCCAACGGUCACUCUGCCUGGGGCAUCAGACUGCUCAUUGAGGGGCCAAGAGCUGUGCCACCCCCAUGUCAGGGUGAUGGCGGGCUCUGCCAGUCCGGUAAGUGCAGGUAGGAGUUGCCUUUGUACAGCCAAAUGCCUGUGGCAGCAUUUAGCAGCCCUGGAAAGCUGCAGGAUUGAAAGAGAAAUUGGGAUGCAUGAGCUGCACCUGGGCCAGCCUGACGCCUUACCUGAGAGCUUUUAUUUUCCUGUCACAGUUCCCUUAAUAUAAAGACUUUUUUCAUGUCUUUGCAGUUGUGGGCAAGUUGUGCUCUGGUAGCACUGUGUUAUCAUGACAGUUUGUAAGUACAAAAGAUGGAGAAAUAAACACUCUUUUUGGUAUGAAAACAUGGUCUUGCUUCCAUAUCAUAACUCUGCUGGUGCAGAGACAAACCUGGAGCCUUGUGGCGCUGAGCCACAGGGUCCUCAUCCAGGCUGGGGUGGGCAGCUGGAGCAGCACUGCGGUUGCCUGCAGUGGGCUGGGUGCUGCCACCACUUCCCAGGAGGUGGCUGGAAGUCCUGUUCUCACCACAGCAAAUCCACAUUGGCAAACCUGGUCUGAGAGCCCAGGCAUGGAGUGGGCUCGGGGGUGGAGGUGUCCCCCCUGCCCAAAUAUCACCCAGCCUGAAAGCCAGGUAGUUGGGGGAUCUGGCAAGGACAGGAGCCCCUCUCACUGUCCAAAUACUGUGAUGGAUAUUUCCCAGGGAUAAAACAGUAAGCAGAGCCCUGGUCACACCACUUGAGCCUUUCUUGUCCCCAAAGGUGUACAUACAUGUGUGUCAGCUCUGUUACAGCAGUGUCUGUCCAGGUGACCCCCAUGGAGGGGUCCUCCUGCCCUUGCUGUCAUAUGAGUAGCACCAGCCAGGCCACCAGCUGAAUUUAGAGGUCAACCGAGCCAGAAAUCGGCCAGCCUGCGUUCCCCGCUGCUCUGCUGGGAGGAAGGACAGUUUCUCCCAGAUGGCCACCUUGGAGGGACAAAUGCUUUGCCACGUGCUGGUAGCCCUGUUUUG
Falco peregrinus (peregrine falcon) is the source of this 7827-nucleotide long non-coding RNA. RefSeq lists it as uncharacterized. The transcript is spliced from 3 exons. NCBI's taxonomy places the organism in Eukaryota, Metazoa, Chordata, Aves, Falconiformes, Falconidae. The record is from RefSeq and is a predicted model, not a curated record.